Molecule: transfer RNA, 87 nt
Filed under: Planctomycetota bacterium
Lineage: Bacteria; Pseudomonadati; Planctomycetota
Also listed under: 1 other name
Description: tRNA-Ser
Rfam family: tRNA
About the family: Transfer RNA (tRNA) molecules are approximately 80 nucleotides in length.
Source: RNAcentral
GGACAGGUGGCAGAGCGGUUGAACGCGCUGGUCUCGAAAACCAGUUCACCCUUCGGGGUGACGUGGGUUCGAAUCCCACCCUGUCCG